AUUGAACGCUGGCGGCAGGCCUAACACAUGCAAGUCGAGCGGAUGAAGGGAGCUUGCUCCUGGAUUCAGCUGCGGACGGGUGGGUAAUUCCUAGGAAUCUGCCUGGUAGCUGGGGCUAACGGCCUAAAACGGGCGCUCAUACCGCAUACGUCCUGAGGGAGAAAGUGGGGGAUCUUCGGACCUCACGCUAUCACAUGAGCCUAGGUCGGAUUAGCUAGUUGGUGGGGUAAAGGCCUACCAAGGCGACGAUCCGUAACUGGUCUGAGAGGAUGAUCAGUCACACUGGAACUGAGACACGGUCCAGACUCCUACGGGAGGCAGCAGUGGGGAAUAUUGGACAAUGGGCGAAAGCCUGAUCCAGCCAUGCCGCGUGUGUGAAGAAGGUCUUCGGAUUGUAAAGCACUUUAGGUUGGGAAGAAAAGCAGUAAGUUAAUACCUUGCUGUUUUGACGGUACCAAAAGAAUAAGCACCGGCUAACUUCGUG
This 484-nucleotide ribosomal RNA is filed under the name uncultured bacterium. RNAcentral's name for it is "partial 16S ribosomal RNA". It matches the Rfam family "Bacterial small subunit ribosomal RNA", at positions 30 to 507 of the family's 1533-position model. The record is from RNAcentral.